CUCUUGCUUAAUAAAACCAGUAUAUUCAGUCUGGAAGGAAAUGAAGUUCUGCAAGUAAUGAAGUUCCAGGAACAAAAAAGAUUAAAAAACAUAAAUAAAUAUAAAAUAAAGCACAUUAAACAAAGUGGAAGAAGACCUACAUAGAGAAAGAAAAAAAAGCUCCUUUUUUACUACAUUGACACACAUGCAUGCAGAUAUACAAACAAGUCACAGUUCAAAAAUUAAACUUUAAAGAGUCCAAGACUUCAAAAUUGGGUCUAUAAAGUACUAGAAAUUUAAUAGGGAAACUCAUUAUUGGUGCAAUUAAAAUUGUAAAUAAAAUCGACCCAAAAAAGUUGUUUAUCAAAUUAAUAGCUCGAGAUUAUUAAAGAAUAUCCCACUUCUUAAUCAAACAAACCCUAAACCCUAAGAGAAGGCAAAAGGAAAACCAGCGUUCUGUUAUUAAUUUCAAUCAAACAAUCUAAGCAUGAGGAGUCCAUUUUGCAUUUCAAUAGAGAGGAUACUACCAAUUUAAUAUAAAGCUAACACAUACGAUGUCUUGUCUUCUGGUAUUUCGCGAAAAAUAUGAAGCUUGGUUUGGAGUUGGGAAAAAAUGCAGCAGUGACUAUUCAAGGAGCCGUUCGGAGGGAUCUAUUCCAGUUUUGAGAAUAAAGGAAAUGGUGUACGAUUUUAUACAAAAACGGAUCACGUGAUGUUAAAACACCAUAUUCAUAUUUACCAACAAAAAAAAAGGACCAUAUUCAUGCUCAAGUUUUGUGGGUUAGCGUCUUCCUUUUUCGUUUUUGUGUUAAUCGGGUAUUUUAGA
RNAcentral lists this long non-coding RNA (805 nucleotides) under Nicotiana tabacum (common tobacco). RNAcentral's name for it is "long non-coding RNA (NTAB_LNC003713)". The record is from RNAcentral. Lineage: Eukaryota; Viridiplantae; Streptophyta; Magnoliopsida; Solanales; Solanaceae.